GCCUAGGAGGGUUAGUCAGUUAAACUGUCUGACUUCAGUUCAGGUCAUGAUCUCAUGGUUUGUGGGUUCGAGCCCCACAUUGGGCU
RNAcentral lists this transfer RNA (86 nucleotides) under Felis catus (domestic cat). It matches the Rfam family "tRNA". Rfam says of the family: Transfer RNA (tRNA) molecules are approximately 80 nucleotides in length. Their secondary structure includes four short double-helical elements and three loops (D, anti-codon, and T loops). The record is from Rfam by way of RNAcentral. Lineage: Eukaryota; Metazoa; Chordata; Mammalia; Carnivora; Felidae.